Molecule: ribosomal RNA, 460 nt
Filed under: uncultured bacterium
Lineage: Bacteria
Description: partial 16S ribosomal RNA
Rfam family: Bacterial small subunit ribosomal RNA
Source: RNAcentral
CCUACGGGUGACAGCAGUGAGGAAUAUUGGUCAAUGGUCGGGAGACUGAACCAGCCAAGCCGCGUGAGGGAGGAAGGUACAGAGUAUCGUAAACCUCUUUUGUCAGGGAACAAAGGCGGGGACGUGUCCCCGGAUGAGUGUACCUGAAGAAAAAGCAUCGGCUAACUCCGUGCCAGCAGCCGCGGUAAUACGGAGGAUGCGAGCGUUAUCCGGAUUUAUUGGGUUUAAAGGGUGCGCAGGCGGGUUGUUAAGUCAGUGGUGAAAGCCCGGGGCUCAACCCCGGCCCCGCCGUUGAAACUGGCAGUCUCGAGUUGGAGAGAGGUAGGCGGAAUUCGCGGUGUAGCGGUGAAAUGCAUAGAUAUCGCGCAGAACUCCGAUUGCGAAGGCAGCAUGCCGGCUCCACACUGACGCUGAGGCACGAAAGCGUGGGUAUCGAACAGGAUUAGAUACCCGUGUAGUC